UACGGAGGGUGCAAGCGUUAUCCGGAUUCACUGGGUUUAAAGGGUGCGUAGGUGGGUUGGUAAGUCGGUCGUGAAAUCCUUCGGCUCAACCGAAGAACGUCGGCCGAUACUGCCGUUCUUGAGGGAUGCAGAGGAGAUUGGAAUUCCCGGUGUAGCGGUGAAAUGUGUAGAGAUCGGGAGGAACACCGGUGGCGAAGGCGGGUCUCUGGGCAUCUCCUGACGCUGAGGCGCGAAAGCGUGGGGAGCAAACGGG
Molecule: ribosomal RNA, 253 nt
Filed under: uncultured bacterium
Lineage: Bacteria
Description: partial 16S ribosomal RNA
Rfam family: Bacterial small subunit ribosomal RNA
Source: RNAcentral